This is a long non-coding RNA of Patiria miniata (bat star), 301 nucleotides long. RefSeq lists it as uncharacterized. The record is from RefSeq and is a predicted model, not a curated record. NCBI's taxonomy places the organism in Eukaryota, Metazoa, Echinodermata, Asteroidea, Valvatida, Asterinidae. The transcript has 4 exons.
CAAUUUAUUGUCUGCAUGCAGGUGUGAAGUCGAUAGGUGUUGACAUAAAGUACAACGUUCCUGUCCCACAGAUUCUCAAUUGUUUGAUGCAAGCAGGUCUGAGGAUGACGGGUUAUGACAUAAAGUACAGCCUUCCUGUCCCUCGGAAGUUUUGAUUGCAGUGCUGCAGGAACCUGCAGUUUGUCAUGAUAUAACUUCCCUGGUGCUGAGGUCCUCCUUUAUAGCAGAAGUCGCAAGACUACUUGCUUCCUUUCCCCGGACAGAUGAACCUACUGAGGCCACGAGAGCAUUUGUCUUCACA